RNAcentral lists this transfer RNA (77 nucleotides) under Kushneria pakistanensis. RNAcentral's name for it is "tRNA-Arg". It matches the Rfam family "tRNA". From Rfam's summary of the family: Transfer RNA (tRNA) molecules are approximately 80 nucleotides in length. Lineage: Bacteria; Pseudomonadati; Pseudomonadota; Gammaproteobacteria; Oceanospirillales; Halomonadaceae. The record is from RNAcentral. RNAcentral also lists the same sequence under 2 other names.
GCCCCCAUAGCUCAGCUGGAUAGAGCGUCCCCCUCCUAAGGGGAAGGUCGCACGUUCGAAUCGUGCUGGGGGCGCCA